RNAcentral lists this ribosomal RNA (459 nucleotides) under uncultured bacterium. RNAcentral's name for it is "partial 16S ribosomal RNA". It matches the Rfam family "Bacterial small subunit ribosomal RNA", at positions 338 to 795 of the family's 1533-position model. The record is from RNAcentral.
CCUACGGGUGGCUGCAGUGAGGAAUAUUGGUCAAUGGGCGCGAGCCUGAACCAGCCAAGUCGCGUGAGGGAGGACGGCCCUACGGGUUAUAAACCUCUUUUGUCAGGGAGCAAAGGGCGCCACGUGUGGCGUUUUGCGAGUACCUGAAGAAAAAGCAUCGGCUAACUCCGUGCCAGCAGCCGCGGUAAUACGGAGGAUGCGAGCGUUAUCCGGAUUUAUUGUGUUUAAAGGGUGCGCAGGCGGAAUGUCAAGUCAGCGGUAAAAUUUCGGGGCUCAACCCCGUCGUGCCGUUGAAACUGGCGUUCUUGAGUGAGCGAGAAGUAUGCGGAAUGCGUGGUGUAGCGGUGAAAUGCAUAGAUAUCACGCAGAACUCCGAUUGCGAAGGCAGCAUACCGGCGCUCAACUGACGCUCAUGCACGAAAGCGUGGGUAUCGAACAGGAGUAGAUACCCGAGUAGUC